UACGUAGGGGGCAAGCGUUGUCCGGAUUUAUUGGGCGUAAAGAGCGUGUAGGCGGUUAGGUAGGUCCGUUGUGAAAACUCGAGGCUCAACCUCGAGACGCCGAUGGAAACCCCCUAACUAGAGUCCGGAAGAGGAGAGUGGAACUCCUGGUGUAGCGGUGAAAUGCGCAGAUAUCAGGAAGAACACCCGUGGCUAAGGCGGCUCUCUAGUACGGUACUGACGCUGAGACGCGAAAGCGUGGGGAGCGAACAGG
This 253-nucleotide ribosomal RNA is filed under the name uncultured bacterium. Its description in RNAcentral is "partial 16S ribosomal RNA". It matches the Rfam family "Bacterial small subunit ribosomal RNA", at positions 524 to 776 of the family's 1533-position model. The record is from RNAcentral.